This is a long non-coding RNA of Frieseomelitta varia, 1012 nucleotides long. RefSeq lists it as uncharacterized. Lineage: Eukaryota; Metazoa; Arthropoda; Insecta; Hymenoptera; Apidae. The transcript has 3 exons. The record is from RefSeq and is a predicted model, not a curated record.
GCGUAUUGCGGACGAUAAGAGUCUGUUUCCGUGAGAAGGGAAGGGAAAAAAAUCAACGCUUGUGCGCAGUUAGGUGUAACAGCGACACGUGUGGCUCUCGCAGUGGUGAUUACGCAGUUGGAGCGGUCGCGCGCGUGUAAUUAUCUCAUCGACAGUAUCAUCAUCGAAGGUGAACUGUGUAACUUUUUGGUGCGAAGCGUGGUCGAAGCGGCUAUUUCGACGUCUGAACGCCUCGUGCUCCAGCGGACGCCGCUGCAACCCGGAGAGAAAUUCUCGCGGAACUUCGCUCUCAUUUCGAGAGCUCGAAGAUUGCUAUUGUUCCGGCGGAGAGGUAAGGGCCAACUCCAUGGAUACUUAACGUAGAGCCGGGCAAGGAGGAAUUGCGGCGCCCUUCCUCGCGAGAAGCAAAAGUCACUUACACCACUCGUCGUGAAAGGAUCAACACGUCAAUGAAUCAUUUGAUCAAACCUCUUGUUUUUAUUUAAUUGCUCCAACAUUUCGAAGGAUGUCGUCGAAACUUGGUUCGUCACGAAAUAUGCGUCCGCGGUUCCCGACUAUCCGUCACUUUGAAAAAUGACGCGCGCUUCUUGUCCCGGAUAGCAAGGGAAGGGAAAAAAAAACAAGAAGAGGGGAGGAGGCAGGCAAAGGAAAAAAGAAAGAGCGAGCGUGGAAACAAUGGUUCGAUGCGGAGAGCGAAUCGAGAGAAGGGAGAAUAUCGAGGCCAGAUUACGAGAGAGACCAAGCUACUUUGCAUCGAGCUACUCUCACCCUUGCCAACACUUUGUGCACCGUCUCGCCCACCACCCUUUCAUCCCCGUGGCUUAUUUUCGAAUGGAGAAAAGCCUCGUCCGACGUUUGCGCCGUCAUCCCUCCAACCGAUCCGGCAGGAUUUCGGUCUGCUCGUUUGAGAUUGUUACGCGAUUUCAGAAUGAUUAAUCGUCUCAAGUACAUCGGUCGAUUCUUCGGUCGUGUGCAAUGCGUGUAUUCAUAUAUUCGCGGCAUCGUUCUGUUA